GUUCCUCCUCCCCUUUUUUCCCUCCCCUUUCCCUCUCCUCGGAGAGUAUGCCUGUUUGAGGGUCAGCCUAUAAAAAUCGACACCGUUGCUGUUCCGCGGUGACGUUCGUCGGAAAUUGGGUUAUCUUAAACCUUUUGGUUUAAGCGACUUAAAAUUUUCCUUUUGAUUCCAUGAACGUUUCUAAGAUUUAUUUCUUUACACGUUUAAGGUAUCGAAUGUCUUAUUAGACGUGGCCGUCAUAUCGGAUCGUGUCCAUAAUUUUUUUCGUUAACUGACCUCAGACAGGUAAGAGUACCCG
RNAcentral lists this unclassified non-coding RNA (298 nucleotides) under Glomeraceae sp. RNAcentral's name for it is "partial contains 5.8S ribosomal RNA and internal transcribed spacer 2". Lineage: Eukaryota; Fungi; Glomeromycota; Glomeromycetes; Glomerales; Glomeraceae. The record is from RNAcentral.